This 253-nucleotide ribosomal RNA is filed under the name uncultured bacterium. RNAcentral's name for it is "partial 16S ribosomal RNA". It matches the Rfam family "Bacterial small subunit ribosomal RNA", at positions 524 to 776 of the family's 1533-position model. The record is from RNAcentral.
UACGUAGGGUGCGAGCGUUGUCCGGAAUUAUUGGGCGUAAAGAGCUUGUAGGCGGUUUGUCGCGUCUGCUGUGAAAAUCCGGGGCUCAACCCCGGACUUGCAGUGGGUACGGGCAGACUAGAGUGUGGUAGGGGAGACUGGAAUUCCCGGUGUAGUGGUGGAAUGCGUAGAGAUCGGGAGGAACACCUGUGGCGAAGGCGGUGGCCUGGACCGGUGCUGACGCUGAGGCGCGAAGGCGUGGGGAGCGAUCCGG